UUUCUGUACUUCCCACUACGGAUCGUUCGGCACGUACCUGCCGAUGGAGGAAAAACGA
Molecule: non-coding RNA, 58 nt
Filed under: Corynebacterium mustelae
Lineage: Bacteria; Bacillati; Actinomycetota; Actinomycetes; Mycobacteriales; Corynebacteriaceae
Description: msiK RNA
Rfam family: msiK RNA
Source: RNAcentral